AACGCAACUGGCGCCGGCUUACCGGCAGGCCUGUUUCAGUGUGCUAGGAGAGUAAACUAUCAAUAUCAAAUAUAAUGCGAUUGAGGUACAUUUAUGUUCUUCUUUCAUUAAAUAUGAAGGUGUGAAAGAUGAGUAAUCUCUCACACUGGCAAACGAAGUAGUCAUGCUUGUUCGAGAUCUCGUUUAAACAGUGCUAAAGGAUGUUGCUUAGCUAUAUAUCACAAAUAAUCAAUUAAAUAUCUCCAAAUUUGGCAUCUGAAAUCAGACAAGGAGACCCGCUGAACUUAA
This 288-nucleotide unclassified non-coding RNA is filed under the name uncultured fungus. RNAcentral describes it as "partial contains 5.8S rRNA and ITS2". Lineage: Eukaryota; Fungi. The record is from RNAcentral.